Molecule: ribosomal RNA, 240 nt
Filed under: uncultured Actinomycetales bacterium
Lineage: Bacteria; Bacillati; Actinomycetota; Actinomycetes; Actinomycetales
Description: partial 16S ribosomal RNA
Rfam family: Bacterial small subunit ribosomal RNA
Source: RNAcentral
ACUCGAGUGGCGAACGGGUGAGUAACACGUGGGUGAUCUGCCCUGCACUUCGGGAUAAGCCUGGGAAACUGGGUCUAAUACCGGAUAGGACGAUGGUUUGGAUGCCAUUGUGGAAAGUUUUUCGGUGUGGGAUGAGCUCGCGGCCUAUCAGCUUGUUGGUGGGGUAAUGGCCACCAAGGCGUCGACGGGUAGCCGGCCUGAGAGGGUGUACGGCCACAUUGGGACUGAGAUACGGCCCAG